RNAcentral lists this signal recognition particle RNA (99 nucleotides) under Flavobacteriales bacterium. RNAcentral's name for it is "signal recognition particle sRNA small type". It matches the Rfam family "Bacteroidales small SRP". From Rfam's summary of the family: The non-coding component of the signal recognition particle in Bacteroides The record is from RNAcentral. RNAcentral also lists the same sequence under 1 other name. Lineage: Bacteria; Pseudomonadati; Bacteroidota; Flavobacteriia; Flavobacteriales.
GGGUAAGUCCUGUGCGACCAGCUCCCAUCGAAUCCCCCAGGGUAGGAAUACAGCAAGGGUAGAUGGUUGUAGCGGUGCGACAUAGAUCGCUUACCCCUU